AGAGUUUGAUCCUGGCUCAGGAUGAACGCUGGCGGCGUGCCUAAUACAUGCAAGUCGAGCGGUAAGGCUUUCACUCUGUAUUUAAUGAGUUGAAUAUAGUGUGAAAGUACACGAGCGGCGGACGGCUGAGUAGCGCGUAGGAAGUACCCCAAAGUGAGGGAUAAGCACCGGAAACGGUGUCUAAUACCGCAUGUGAUCUUCGGAUUAAAGCUUUAUGCGCUUUGGGAGCGGCCUGCGUAAGAUUAGUUUGUUGGUGAGGUAAUGGCUCACCAAGACUACGAUCUUUAGCUGGUCUGAGAGGAUGAUCAGCCAGACUGGGACUGAGACACGGCCCAGACUCCUACGGGAGGCAGCAGUAGGGAAUUUCCACAAUGGACGAAAGUCUGAUGGAGCAACGCCGCGUGCAGGAUGAAGGCCUUCGGGUUGUAAACUGCUUUUAUCUGUGACGAUUAUGACGGUAGCAGAUGAAUAAGGAUCGGCUAACUCCGUG
Molecule: ribosomal RNA, 490 nt
Filed under: uncultured bacterium
Lineage: Bacteria
Description: bacterial SSU rRNA
Rfam family: Bacterial small subunit ribosomal RNA
Source: RNAcentral